RNAcentral lists this ribosomal RNA (261 nucleotides) under uncultured archaeon. RNAcentral's name for it is "partial 16S ribosomal RNA". It matches the Rfam family "Archaeal small subunit ribosomal RNA", at positions 717 to 982 of the family's 1478-position model. The record is from RNAcentral.
ACGUCUACAUUAGAUACCCCGGUAGUCCUAGCCGUAAACGAUACUCGCUAGGUGUCGGCCACGGUGCGACCGUUGUCGGUGCCGUAGGGAAGCCGUGAAGCGAGCCACCUGGGAAGUACGGCCGCAAGGCUGAAACUUAAAGGAAUUGGCGGGGAGCACCACAACGGGUGGAGCUUGCGGUUUAAUUGGAUUCAACGCCGGAAAUCUUACCGGGACCGACAGCAACAUGAAGGCAGGCUGAAGACUUUGCCGGAUUAGCUG